UAUAAGCAUUAUACAGCGAAACUGCGAAUGGCUCAUUAUAUAAGUUAUCGUUUAUUUGAUAGUGCCUUACUACUUGGAUAACCGUGGUAAUUCUAGAGCUAAUACAUGCUAAAAAUCCCGACUCCGGAAGGGAUGUAUUUAUUAGAUUAAAAACCAAUGCCCUCUGGGCUCCCUGGUGAUUCAUGAUAACUUCUCGAAUCGCACGGCCUUGCGCCGGCGAUGGUUCAUUCAAAUUUCUUCCCUAUCAACUUUCGAUGUUUGGGUAGUGGCCAAACAUGGUGGCAACGGGUAACGGAGGGUUAGGGCUCGACCCCGGAGAAGGAGCCUGAGAAACGGCUACUACAUCCAAGGAAGGCAGCAGGCGCGCAAAUUACCCAAUCCCGACACGGGGAGGUAGUGACAAUAAAUACUGAUACAGGGCUCUUUUGGGUCUUGUAAUUGGAAUGAGUACAAUUUAAAUCCCUUAACGAGGAACAAUUGGAGGGCAAGUCUGGUGCCAGCAGCCGCGGUAAUUCCAGCUCCAAUAGCGUAUAUUAAAGUUGUUGUGGUUAAAAAGCUCGUAGUUGAACCUUGGGCCUGGCUGGCCGGUCCGCCUCACCGCGUGUACUGGUCCGGCCGGGCCUUUCCCUCUGUGGAACCCCAUGCCCUUCACUGGGUGUGGCGGGGAAACAGGACUUUUACUUUGAAAAAAUUAGAGUGCUCCAGGCAGGCCUAUGCUCGAAUACAUUAGCAUGGAAUAAUGAAAUAGGACGCGCGGUUCUAUUUUGUUGGUUUCUAGGACCGCCGUAAUGAUUAAUAGGGACAGUCGGGGGCAUCAGUAUUCAAUUGUCAGAGGUGAAAUUCUUGGAUUUAUUGAAGACUAACUACUGCGAAAGCAUUUGCCAAGGAUGUUUUCAUUAAUCAGGAACGAAAGUUAGGGGAUCGAAGACGAUCAGAUACCGUCGUAGUCUUAACCAUAAACUAUGCCGACUAGGGAUCGGACGAUGUUAUUUUUUGACUCGUUCGGCACCUUACGAGAAAUCAAAGUGCUUGGGCU
Molecule: ribosomal RNA, 1036 nt
Filed under: Polycephalomyces formosus
Lineage: Eukaryota; Fungi; Ascomycota; Sordariomycetes; Hypocreales; Polycephalomycetaceae
Description: SSU rRNA
Rfam family: Eukaryotic small subunit ribosomal RNA
Source: RNAcentral